Molecule: microRNA precursor, 73 nt
Organism: Camarhynchus parvulus
Lineage: Eukaryota; Metazoa; Chordata; Aves; Passeriformes; Thraupidae
Source: Ensembl
AUGUCGCAGAUACUGCAUCAGGAACUGAUUGGAUAAUAAUCACUCACCAUCAGUUCCUAAUGCAUUGCCUUCA